CGGAGAAUAGACGUCGUGUUCCAUUCUAUUUGUUGUUAUUCUUGUCCAAUUCUCAUAUCGUGUGUGUUCUGAAUUACUAUCUACUUGCCUACCCAAAAAUUGAGGGUCUGAACUAAUCUUCCAAAGCAUAUUGCAAGAUAUAAAUACGUGUAUAUCAGCAGCUAAACCUCGGGGGUGGAUCCUUCCAACGAAGGCUGCUGGAGCUGUUCUGCUGGCUUCUCUUAGACCAAGGCCACGAAGACGGACUGGUAGAGUUGCCUGUUUCCAACAGGCGUUAGACAUAGACGAUUUGAACAUCUUCUCUAGGCAACGACGCACACCAUGAUCAAACCGGCUAAAGGCUAAGACAGCUGCGUAGAAGGUGCAUCUCUACUUAGGGGUCUUCGAGAUCAGAGAGAUUAUCCGUACAGGAGAGAACAUUGUCCACUCGUUUGGCAAAGGAUUGAUUAAAGAAUGAAUCAGACUCGACAACUGGAGCCCCUAAAAACUCUUCAUCUUCUGAACUCUGAUUGAUUCGUAUGACCUCUCCAGGGGACUCUGGAAAUGAAAUGUCACGCAUCUUCCAGCUUCUUCCAGAACAAGG
Corticium candelabrum is the source of this 583-nucleotide long non-coding RNA. RefSeq lists it as uncharacterized. NCBI's taxonomy places the organism in Eukaryota, Metazoa, Porifera, Homoscleromorpha, Homosclerophorida, Plakinidae. The record is from RefSeq and is a predicted model, not a curated record. The transcript has 3 exons.